This 460-nucleotide ribosomal RNA is filed under the name uncultured bacterium. Its description in RNAcentral is "partial 16S ribosomal RNA". It matches the Rfam family "Bacterial small subunit ribosomal RNA", at positions 338 to 795 of the family's 1533-position model. The record is from RNAcentral.
CCUACGGGGGGCAGCAGUGAGGAAUAUUGGUCAAUGGACGAGAGUCUGAACCAGCCAAGUAGCGUGAAGGAUGACUGCCCUAUGGGUUGUAAACUUCUUUUAUAUGGGAAUAAAACGUUCCACGUGUGGGAUUUUGUAUGUACCAUAUGAAUAAGGAUCGGCUAACUCCGUGCCAGCAGCCGCGGUAAUACGGAGGAUCCGAGCGUUAUCCGGAUUUAUUGGGUUUAACGGGUUCGUAGGUGGAUUGUUAAGUCAGUUGUGAAAGUUUGCGGCUCAACCGUAAAAUUGCAGUUGAAACUGGCAGUCUUGAGUACAGUAGAGGUGGGCGGAAUUCGUGGUGUAGCGGUGAAAUGCUUAGAUAUCACGAAGAACUCCGAUUGCGAAGGCAGUUCACUGGACUGCAACUGACACUGAUGCUCGAAAGUGUGGGUAUCAAACAGGAUUAGAUACCCCAGUAGUC